AAGCGGUGGAGCAUGUGGUUUAAUUNGAAGCAACGCGAAGANCCUUACCAAAUCUUGACAUCNUCUGACUCCUCUAGAGAUAGAGUUUUCCCCUUCGGGGGGCAGAGUGACAGGUGGUGCAUGGUUGUCGUCAGCUCGUGUCGUGAGAUGUUGGGUUAAGUCCCGCAACGAGCGCAACCCUUAAGCUUAGUUGCCAUCAUUAAGUUGGGCACUCUAAGUUGACUGCCGGUGACAAACCGGAGGAAGGUGGGGAUGACGUCAAAUCAUCAUGCCCCUUAUGAUUUGGGCUACACACGUGCUACAAUGGACAAUACAAAGGGCAGCGAAAUCGCGAGGUCAAGCAAAUCCCAUAAAGUUGUUCUCAGUUCGGAUUGUAGUCUGCAACUCGACUAUAUGAAGCUGGAAUCGCUAGUAAUCGUAGAUCAGCAUGCUACGGUGAAUACGUUCCCGGGUCUUGUACACACCGCCCGUCACACCACGAGAGUUUGUAACACCCGAAGC
RNAcentral lists this ribosomal RNA (501 nucleotides) under uncultured Staphylococcus sp. Its description in RNAcentral is "bacterial SSU rRNA". It matches the Rfam family "Bacterial small subunit ribosomal RNA", at positions 927 to 1427 of the family's 1533-position model. The record is from RNAcentral. Lineage: Bacteria; Bacillati; Bacillota; Bacilli; Caryophanales; Staphylococcaceae.